GGGAAGAUCUUCAAUGUUGGUAUUUGAAGCUGACCUGUAAAUUCAGUGAUAUUUUUAUCUUCAUACGUUCGAUUCGUAUUCUUCUCA
RNAcentral lists this transfer RNA (87 nucleotides) under Ogataea polymorpha. Its description in RNAcentral is "tRNA-Tyr". Lineage: Eukaryota; Fungi; Ascomycota; Pichiomycetes; Pichiales; Pichiaceae. RNAcentral also lists the same sequence under 1 other name. The record is from RNAcentral.